This 641-nucleotide ribosomal RNA is filed under the name Achromobacter marplatensis. Its description in RNAcentral is "bacterial SSU rRNA". It matches the Rfam family "Bacterial small subunit ribosomal RNA", at positions 842 to 1483 of the family's 1533-position model. Lineage: Bacteria; Pseudomonadati; Pseudomonadota; Betaproteobacteria; Burkholderiales; Alcaligenaceae. The record is from RNAcentral.
GGUAGCGCAGCUAACGCGUGAAGUUGCCCGCCUGGGGAGCAUGGUCGCAAGAUUAAAACUCAAAGGAAUUGACGGGGACCCGCACAAGCGGCGGAUGAUGUGGAUUAAUUUGAUGCAACGGGAAAAACGUUACCUACCCCUGACACGUCUGGAAUUCCGAAGAGAUUUGGAAGUGCUCGCAAGAGAACCGGAACACAGGUGCUGCAUGGCUGUCGUCAGCUCGUGUCGUGAGAUGUUGGGUUAAGUCCCGCAACGAGCGCAACCCUUGUCAUUAGUUGCUACGAAAGGGCACUCUAAUGAGACUGCCGGUGACAAACCGGAGGAAGGUGGGGAUGACGUCAAGUCCUCAUGGCCCUUAUGGGUAGGGCUUCACACGUCAUACAAUGGUCGGGACAGAGGGUCGCCAACCCGCGAGGGGGAGCCAAUCCCAGAAACCCGAUCGUAGUCCGGAUCGCAGUCUGCAACUCGACUGCGUGAAGUCGGAAUCGCUAGUAAUCGCGGAUCAGCAUGUCGCGGUGAAUACGUUCCCGGGUCUUGUACACACCGCCCGUCACACCAUGGGAGUGGGUUUUACCAGAAGUAGUUAGCCUAACGUAAGGGGGGCGAUACCACGUGAUACGUCCCUCUUUAAUCUCAUUUGA